Molecule: ribosomal RNA, 253 nt
Filed under: uncultured bacterium
Lineage: Bacteria
Description: partial 16S ribosomal RNA
Rfam family: Bacterial small subunit ribosomal RNA
Source: RNAcentral
UACGGAGGGGGCUAGCGUUGUUCGGAAUUACUGGGCGUAAAGCGCACGUAGGCGGCUUUGUAAGUUAGAGGUGAAAGCCCGGGGCUCAACUCCGGAAUUGCCUUUAAGACUGCAUCGCUAGAGCUGUGGAGAGGUAAGUGGAAUUCCGAGUGUAGAGGUGAAAUUCGUAGAUAUUCGGAAGAACACCAGUGGCGAAGGCGACUUACUGGACACAUACUGACGCUGAGGUGCGAAAGCGUGGGGAGCAAACAGG